Gallus gallus (chicken) is the source of this 315-nucleotide long non-coding RNA. RefSeq lists it as uncharacterized. The transcript is spliced from 3 exons. The record is from RefSeq and is a predicted model, not a curated record. Lineage: Eukaryota; Metazoa; Chordata; Aves; Galliformes; Phasianidae.
AUUAAAAUAAAAUACAAAGAAAAAAAGAAUGCGAUAGAUGAAGAUAAAAAUUGGAGUAAAUAUUAAUUAUUAUAUACACAUUUAUUAUUAUGUUAUAAUUUCCUAAACUCUAUUUCUUAGGUUCCCUGACUGGAAUUCUUUAAAAUGAGACAGAACUUUGGUGCAAUCUGCUGGUUUAAAAAUACGAAUCUAAGAAUGUACCUACUGUUUACACAGGAAUCUGUGUGAAGCUGACAGGAAAGAAAGGAGAAUAAAGGUCACGGUAACUCUAUGCUACGAUCUUAAAGAAGAUACUUAAUGUGGACUUCUUUUUGG